This 253-nucleotide ribosomal RNA is filed under the name uncultured bacterium. RNAcentral describes it as "partial 16S ribosomal RNA". It matches the Rfam family "Bacterial small subunit ribosomal RNA", at positions 524 to 776 of the family's 1533-position model. The record is from RNAcentral.
GACGAACCGAGCGAACGUUGUUCGGAAUCACUGGGCUUAAAGGGCGCGUAGGCGGGUGCUCAAGUCCGUGGUGAAAUCCUCCGGCUCAACCGGAGCACUGCCUCGGAUACUGGGUGCCUCGAGGGUGGUAGGGGUAUGCGGAACUAUCGGUGGAGCGGUGAAAUGCGUUGAUAUCGAUAGGAACUCCGGUGGCGAAGGCGGCAUACUGGACCACCUCUGACGCUGAGGCGCGAAAGCUAGGGGAGCAAACAGG